This 2838-nucleotide long non-coding RNA is filed under the name Sus scrofa (pig). Its description in RNAcentral is "lncRNA (ENSSSCG00035069830.1)". The record is from RNAcentral. Lineage: Eukaryota; Metazoa; Chordata; Mammalia; Artiodactyla; Suidae.
UUAUUCAAGUGUGGGAGGGCGUGGGGCAAUGAUGCGGGCUGCUCCUCCGCCUCUGGGGUUCAGCCUGGGGCUCGGCCAGGCUGGCGGUUGGGAAGGCGAGCAUGGACCCUGGAACCCAUUGUCACACCUACUCCCAACCUUGAUGCCGCGGUGACCUCCCGACAAGCUGGCACCUUCGCCAUGGAGUGGCACACACACCUGCUUCAGGACGAGGAGAAGUUGAAUGGGUGAUGCAGGGAGCCGGAGGCACUGCAGGACCAGAGGCCACCCCUCACCAAGGUGGGCAACACGUCAGUGACAAGGAUGCACUCCAUCCGCCCUUCCGACUUAAUAUGAACAAACAUCUGCUGGCACUUCACUCUCACCCUCCAGACCUCAGGCAGGAUGUCUCUUGCCCCUCACGCCACCCGAGCACCAUUUAGGGGCUGGAAUUUUGGGAGAAGUCCUGUUGACUCAGUGGCACUAUGUUGGUUCCACGGACACAGUGCGAAGCCAGCCCAGAGAUGAAGCGGGAGAAUGCAGCUGAGUGAAGGGAGGGCUUUUUCUUAACUCAGAUGUAUUUCUACCUGACGCAGUUUGAAAAAGAACCUGAAGAGGUUCUGAUCCAGGAUACCACAUUGCAUCUAGAAGUCCUAACUUUUACUAUUUUUUAAUUUUUUGGCUGCACCCAUGGCAUGCACCAGUAGUGACCUGAGCCACAGCAGUGACAACCCUGCAUCCUUAACCCUGUGAGCAACCAGGGAACUCCCUAGAAGUCCCAGACUUUUUUUUGUUUGCUUUUUUUAGGGCCACACCUGUGACAUAUAGAGGUUCCCAGGCUAGCGGUUGAAUCAGAGCUAUGGCUGCUGGCCUAUGCCAUGGCCGCAGUAACGCCAGAUCUGAGCUGCGUCUGGGACUCACAACCACAGCUCAUGGAGACACCAGAUCCUUUAACCCACAGAGCAAGGCCAGGGGAUUGAACCCGCAUCCUCAUGGAUACUAAUCAGCAUUUUUCCCGCUAUGCUACCAUGGGAACUCCCCAAGUCCCAGCUUUUAAACAGGGCAUUGAAAGCCUUUUGUGAUCUUGGCCUCUGUUUACGUCCAAGCCCAUCUCUAGCCCCUUGUCACACCCUUUUUUUCUCAGGCCACCCUGAAGAACCUGCAAUUCCUCCAGAGGCCUUUUCUUACUCCUGGACCUCUGUACAUGCUGUUCUGUCUCUGAGGAGCCCAUUUCCCUGUCUUGACCUCACACUUACUCAUCCUGAAGCUUCCAUUCAGUCAGCUCUCCUAGGAAGCCUUCUUGGCCAAACCCAUCUGGGCUUGGCCAAACCCUGGGCUUCUCCAGCUGCCCUCUGCUCUCUCCAUCCCUGGAUUUUUGGUAAGGUUUUUUAAUUAAAUUAAAUUAUUAUUUUUCUUUUUUGGCCACCGAGCGGCAUAUGGAGUUCCUGAGCCAGGGAUCAGAUCCGAGCUGCAGUUGUGACCUAUGCCGCAGCUGCUGCGAUACGAUCCUUAAAUCACUGUGUCGGGCCAGGGAUCGAACCUGCAUCCUGGUGCGGCAGAGACGCUGCCCAUCCCAUUGUGCCACAGUGGGAACUCCCAUCCCUGGGUUUUUUUAAUCCCAGAUUUUGAUGAUCUGUUUCCUUGUACUCCUCACUAGAUUGAAGAAACUUUGGGCUGGUGCCCUGCUUUAUUUUUCUCUGUAGGAACUCAAUGAAUGCUUGCAAAAUGGAUGAAGUUAGGAAAGAGUCCAUAUCCACAAAAGUGUCAGCGAGAGCUCAGAGGGAGACUCUCCUGGCUGGAGGGGAGCCUUCUUGACUUGAUGGCUUGAUGCUUGCAAAAUGGAGCAGUAAACUAACAUCUACUGAGCACAGAUUCUGUGCUAGGCACGAUUCUCAGUACUUUGCACCCACUAAUUGAAUCCUCACAAAACCCCUCCUAGGUGUGUGCCUGCUUUUCUCCCCAUUUGACAGAUGAAGAAGUACAAGUGAAACAAUUCGCCAAGAUGAGCAGUGAUUAGAGGCAGAGCUGGAAUAGACCUGGACUUGCUUCUUCUUUGCUAGACAUUGGGGUGCAUGUGCCCUGUGGACCAGAAAGGGGGCAUGGGUGGUAGGAGGUAGAAUUCCAGGGCGGGACAACUGAUACACCUAAAACAUUUUGGAAGGUAAGCAUGGGUGACCCCACUUCUGGAAGAGUUGCGAUUGUGGGGGGAUGUGUUGUUACCCCCGAGGGUGACAGAUGAUUGGGGGCGGGGGGGGGGAUAGGUGUUUUGGAGAUGUGGACCUGGAGGAGGGGUGUGAUUGCAGCCUGGUGGCAGAGGCCACCGAUGCUCUCUGGAAUGUAAGUUGGCUGGGGACUAAUUAAUUAGAAAGCUCUGAGAACUGGAAGCCACCCAAGAGGAGAACGUCUCAAGGAAGGAAGAACUUAGAGGCCCAGAGAAAGCAGAGCCAUCUGGACCGGGGUGGGGGUGGAGUCCGGAAGAGGCUGCUCACGCGAGGUUCUCGUACGAAAUUCUCGCGAGACGAAUGCUGUAGUUCAUCUGGGCCCCUGCAAACUACCCCCGGGUUUAUCAUUUCUAGCCUGAGAUUUCCUCCAGCGCAUUGGUACAGCUUUGUACCCGAAGUGGAGGUGCACCUCCUCCCAUGAGUAAUAGCUGCUUUUUGUGCAGUGUUUACGAAAAAGGCCUUUUAAGCUCUCUUGCUUCCAAUUCAUUCUUCCAAGGCCCAAAAGAGGUAGGCAGGCCUCAUUUCCAUGUCCUGUUUACAGAUGAAGAAAUGGAGAUGUACUGAGGAAGAUAACUUGCCUGAGGUCACGCAGCUAGAAAGGGACACAAUAAACAUGGAAUAAAUGAAUAAAUAAGAA